CGUUGGCGGCGUGGAAUUAGGCAUGCAAGUCGCGGGAAUCCCAGCAAUGGGGGAACCGGCGUAAGGGGCAGUAAGGCGUGGGUACCUACCCUGGGGUCUGGGAUAGCCGUCCGAGAGGGCGGGUAAUACCGGAUGACCUCGGGAGAGCAAAGCUCCGGCGCCCUGGGAGGGGCCCACGUGAUAUUAGCUAGUUGGCGGGGUAACGGCCCACCAAGGCGGAGAUGUCUAGCGGGUGUGAGAGCACGACCCGCGCCACUCGCACUGAGACACUGGCGAGACACCUACGGGUGGCUGCAGUCGAGGAUCUUCGGCAAUGUGCGCAAGCACGACCGAGUGACGCCGCGUGGGCGACGAAGGCCUUCGGGUUGUAAAGCCCUGUCGAGGGGGAGAAAAGCCCGCAAGGGUGUGAUCUAUCCCUGGAGGAAGCUCGGGCUAAGUUCGUGCCAGCAGCCGCGGUAAGACGAACCGAGCGAACGUUGUUCGGAAUCACUGGGCUUAAAGGGCGCGUAGGCGGGCUGCCAAGUUUGGGGUGAAAUCCUCCGGCUCAACCGGGGAAAUGCCUCGAAUACUGGCGGUCUCGAGGGAGGUAGGGGCGUGCGGAACUGUAGGUGGAGCGGUGA
This 620-nucleotide ribosomal RNA is filed under the name uncultured soil bacterium. RNAcentral describes it as "bacterial SSU rRNA". It matches the Rfam family "Bacterial small subunit ribosomal RNA", at positions 34 to 684 of the family's 1533-position model. The record is from RNAcentral.